This 768-nucleotide ribosomal RNA is filed under the name Leptolyngbya sp. BI-107. RNAcentral's name for it is "bacterial SSU rRNA". It matches the Rfam family "Bacterial small subunit ribosomal RNA", at positions 585 to 1354 of the family's 1533-position model. Lineage: Bacteria; Bacillati; Cyanobacteriota; Cyanophyceae; Leptolyngbyales; Leptolyngbyaceae. The record is from RNAcentral.
AAGUCUGUUGUCAAAGGUCACAGCUCAACUGUGGAUCGGCAAUGGAAACUGGGUGACUUGAGUGUGGUAGGGGUAGAGGAAUUUCCCGGUGUAGCGGUGAAAUGCGUAGAUAUCGAGAAGAACACCAGUGGCGAAGGCGCUACACUGGGUCACAACUGCCGUUGAGGGACGAAAGCUAGGGGAGCGAAAGGGAUUAGAUACCCCUGUAGUCCUACCUGUAAACGAUGGAUAUUAGGUGUUGGAUGUAUCGACCCGUGCAGUACCGUAGCUAACGCGUUAAGUAUCCCGCCUGGGGAGUACGCACGCAAGUGUGAAACUCAAAGGAAUUGACGGGGGCCCGCACAAGCGGUGGCGGAUGUGGUUUAAUUCGAUGCAACGAGAAGCACCUUCCCACGGCUUCACAUGUCGAGAAUCCUUCAGAGAGGAGGGAGCGCUUUCGGGAUCGCGAACACAGGUGGCGCAUGGCUGUUCUCAGCUCGUGUCGUGAGAUGUUGGGUUAAGUCCCGCAACGAGCGCAACCCACCUUUUUAGUUCCCCGCAUUUAGUUGGGCACUCUAAAGAGACUGCCGGGGACAAACCGGAGGAAGGUGGGGAUGACGUCAAGUCAUCAUGCCCCUUACGUCCUGGGCUACACACGUCCUACAAUGGUACAGACAAAGGGCAGCCAGCGCGCGAGUGCAAGCAAAUCCCAUAAACUGUGUCUCAGUUCAGAUUGCAGUCUGCAACUCGCCUGCAUGAAGUCGGAAUCGCUAGUAAUCGCAGUCAGCA